This 1286-nucleotide ribosomal RNA is filed under the name Staphylococcus pseudintermedius. Its description in RNAcentral is "bacterial SSU rRNA". It matches the Rfam family "Bacterial small subunit ribosomal RNA", at positions 151 to 1423 of the family's 1533-position model. Lineage: Bacteria; Bacillati; Bacillota; Bacilli; Caryophanales; Staphylococcaceae. The record is from RNAcentral.
GGGAAACCGGGGCUAAUGCCGGAUAACAUGUUGAACCGCAUGGUUCUACAGUGAAAGACGGUCUUGCUGUCACUUAUAGAUGGACCCGCGCCGUAUUAGCUAGUUGGUGGGGUAACGGCCUACCAAGGCGACGAUACGUAGCCGACCUGAGAGGGUGAUCGGCCACACUGGAACUGAGACACGGUCCAGACUCCUACGGGAGGCAGCAGUAGGGAAUCUUCCGCAAUGGGCGAAAGCCUGACGGAGCAACGCCGCGUGAGUGAUGAAGGUCUUCGGAUCGUAAAGCUCUGUUGUUAGGGAAGAACAAAUGUGUAAGUAACUGUGCACAUCUUGACGGUACCUAACCAGAAAGCCACGGCUAACUACGUGCCAGCAGCCGCGGUAAUACGUAGGUGGCAAGCGUUAUCCGGAAUUAUUGGGCGUAAAGCGCGCGUAGGCGGUUUUUUAAGUCUGAUGUGAAAGCCCACGGCUCAACCGUGGAGGGUCAUUGGAAACUGGAAAACUUGAGUGCAGAAGAGGAAAGUGGAAUUCCAUGUGUAGCGGUGAAAUGCGCAGAGAUAUGGAGGAACACCAGUGGCGAAGGCGGCUUUCUGGUCUGCAACUGACGCUGAUGUGCGAAAGCGUGGGGAUCAAACAGGAUUAGAUACCCUGGUAGUCCACGCCGUAAACGAUGAGUGCUAAGUGUUAGGGGGUUUCCGCCCCUUAGUGCUGCAGCUAACGCAUUAAGCACUCCGCCUGGGGAGUACGGUCGCAAGACUGAAACUCAAAGGAAUUGACGGGGACCCGCACAAGCGGUGGAGCAUGUGGUUUAAUUCGAAGCAACGCGAAGAACCUUACCAAAUCUUGACAUCCUUUGACCGCUCUAGAGAUAGAGUUUUCCUCUUCGGAGGACAAAGUGACAGGUGGUGCAUGGUUGUCGUCAGCUCGUGUCGUGAGAUGUUGGGUUAAGUCCCGCAACGAGCGCAACCCUUGAACUUAGUUGCCAUCAUUCAGUUGGGCACUCUAAGUUGACUGCCGGUGACAAACCGGAGGAAGGUGGGGAUGACGUCAAAUCAUCAUGCCCCUUAUGAUUUGGGCUACACACGUGCUACAAUGGACAAUACAAAGGGCAGCGAAACCGCGAGGUCAAGCAAAUCCCAUAAAGUUGUUCUCAGUUCGGAUUGUAGUCUGCAACUCGACUACAUGAAGCUGGAAUCGCUAGUAAUCGUAGAUCAGCAUGCUACGGUGAAUACGUUCCCGGGUCUUGUACACACCGCCCGUCACACCACGAGAGUUUGUAACACCCG